Molecule: ribosomal RNA, 498 nt
Filed under: uncultured bacterium
Lineage: Bacteria
Description: partial 16S ribosomal RNA
Rfam family: Bacterial small subunit ribosomal RNA
Source: RNAcentral
GACGAACGCUGGCGGCGUGCCUAAUACAUGCAAGUCGAGCGGACGAAUCGAAAGCUUGCUUUUGAUUCGUUAGCGGCGGACGGGUGAGUAACACGUGGGCAACCUGCCCUGUAGACGGGGAUAACACCGAGAAAUCGGUGCUAAUACCGGAUAACAUGAAAUGUCGCAUGACGUUUCGUUGAAAGACGGCGCAAGCUGUCGCUACAGGAUGGGCUCGCGGCGCUUUAGCUAGUUGGUGAGGUAAAGGCUCACCAAGGCGACUAGCCGUAGCCGACGUGAGAGGGUGGUCGGCGACACUGGGACUGAGACACGGCCCAUACUCCUACGGGAGGCAGCAGUAGGGAAUCUUCCGCAAUGGUCGAAAGUCUGACGGAGCAACGCCGCGUGAGCGAAGAAGGCCUUCGGGUCGUAAAGCUCUGUUGUUAGGGAAGAACAAGUAACGCAGUAACUGGCGUUACCGUGACGGUACCUAACGAGAAAGCCACGGCUAACUACGUG